UUGGGCGUAAGCGAGCGCAGGCGGUUUUCUAAGUCUGAUGUGAAAGCCUUCGGCUUAACCGAAGAAGGGCAUCGGAAACUGGAUGACUUGAGUGCAGAAGAGGGCAGUGGAACUCCAUGUGUAGCGGUGGAAUGCGUAGAUAUAUGGAAGAACACCAGUGGCGAAGGCGGCUGCCUAGUCUGCAACUGACGCCGAGGCUCGAAAGCAUGGGUAGCGAACAGGAUUAGAUACCCUGGUAGUCCAUGCCGUAAACGAUGAGUGCUAGGUGUUGGAGGGUUUCCGCCCUUCAGUGCCGCAGCUAACGCAAUAAGCACUCCGCCUGGGGAGUAUGACCGCAAGGUUGAAACUCAAAGGAAUUGACGGGGGCCCGCACAAGCGGUGGAGCAUGUGGUUUAAUUCGAAGCUACGCGAAGAACCUUACCAGGUCUUGACAUCUUGCGCUAACCUAAGAGAUUAGGCGUUCCCUUCGGGGACGCAAUGACAGGUGGUGCAUGGUCGUCGUCAGCUCGUGUCGUGAGAUGUUGGGUUAAGUCCCGCAACGAGCGCAACCCUUGUUACUAGUUGCCAGCAUUCAGUUGGGCACUCUAGUGAGACUGCCGGUGACAAACCGGAGGAAGGUGGGGACGACGUCAGAUCAUCAUGCCCCUUAUGACCUGGGCUAC
This 662-nucleotide ribosomal RNA is filed under the name uncultured bacterium. Its description in RNAcentral is "bacterial SSU rRNA". It matches the Rfam family "Bacterial small subunit ribosomal RNA", at positions 554 to 1217 of the family's 1533-position model. The record is from RNAcentral.